RNAcentral lists this ribosomal RNA (1395 nucleotides) under Pantoea sp. tax12. RNAcentral's name for it is "bacterial SSU rRNA". It matches the Rfam family "Bacterial small subunit ribosomal RNA". Lineage: Bacteria; Pseudomonadati; Pseudomonadota; Gammaproteobacteria; Enterobacterales; Erwiniaceae. The record is from RNAcentral.
AGCUUGCUCUUGGGUGACGAGUGGCGGACGGGUGAGUAAUGUCUGGGGAUCUGCCCGAUAGAGGGGGAUAACCACUGGAAACGGUGGCUAAUACCGCAUAACGUCGCAAGACCAAAGAGGGGGACCUUCGGGCCUCUCACAUCGGAUGAACCCAGAUGGGAUUAGCUAGUAGGCGGGGUAAUGGCCCACCUAGGCGACGAUCCCUAGCUGGUCUGAGAGGAUGACCAGCCACACUGGAACUGAGACACGGUCCAGACUCCUACGGGAGGCAGCAGUGGGGAAUAUUGCACAAUGGGCGCAAGCCUGAUGCAGCCAUGCCGCGUGUAUGAAGAAGGCCUUCGGGUUGUAAAGUACUUUCAGCGGGGAGGAAGGCGACGGGGUUAAUAACCCUGUCGAUUGACGUUACCCGCAGAAGAAGCACCGGCUAACUCCGUGCCAGCAGCCGCGGUAAUACGGAGGGUGCAAGCGUUAAUCGGAAUUACUGGGCGUAAAGCGCACGCAGGCGGUCUGUUAAGUCAGAUGUGAAAUCCCCGGGCUUAACCUGGGAACUGCAUUUGAAACUGGCAGGCUUGAGUCUUGUAGAGGGGGGUAGAAUUCCAGGUGUAGCGGUGAAAUGCGUAGAGAUCUGGAGGAAUACCGGUGGCGAAGGCGGCCCCCUGCACAAAGACUGACGCUCAGGUGCGAAAGCGUGGGGAGCAAACAGGAUUAGAUACCCCUGGUAGUCCACGCCCGACACGAUGUCGACUUGGAGGUUGUUCCCUUUGAGGAGUGGCUUCCAGGAGUGGCUUCCGGAGCUAACGCGUUAAGUCGACCGCCUGGGGAGUACGGCCGCAAGGUUAAAACUCAAAUGAAUUGACGGGGGCCCGCACAAGCGGUGGAGCAUGUGGUUUAAUUCGAUGCAACGCGAAGAACCUUACCUACUCUUGACAUCCAGAAUUGCAGAGAUGCUUGUGCCUUCGGGAACUGAGACAGGUGCUGCAUGGCUGUCGUCAGCUCGUGUUGUGAAAUGUUGGGUUAAGUCCCGCAACGAGCGCAACCCUUAUCCUUUGUUGCCAGCGAUUCGGUCGGGAACUCAAAGGAGACUGCCGGUGAUAAACCGGAGGAAGGUGGGGAUGACGUCAAGUCAUCAUGGCCCUUACGAGUAGGGCUACACACGUGCUACAAUGGCGCAUACAAAGAGAAGCGACCUCGCGAGAGCAAGCGGACCUCACAAAGUGCGUCGUAGUCCGGAUCGGAGUCUGCAACUCGACUCCGUGAAGUCGGAAUCGCUAGUAAUCGUGGAUCAGAAUGCCACGGUGAAUACGUUCCCGGGCCUUGUACACACCGCCCGUCACACCAUGGGAGUGGGUUGCAAAAGAAGUAGGUAGCUUAACCUUCGGGAGGGCGCUUACCACU